GAAUUUUGGACAAUGGGCGAAACCCUGAUCCAGCAAUGCCGCGUGCAGGAAGACGGCCUUCGGGUUGUAAACUGCUUUUGUACGGAACGAAAAGCUUUGGGUUAAUACCCUGGAGCCAGUACGGUACCGUAAGAAUAAGCACCCGCUAACGUCGUGCCCGCAGCCGCGGUAAUACGGAGGGUGCAAGCGUUAAUCGGAAUUACUGGGCGUAAAGCGUGCGCAGGCGGUUUUGUAAGACAGAGGUGAAAUCCCCGGGCUCAACCUGGGAACUGCCUUUGUGACUGCAAGGCUAGAGUACGGCAGAGGGGGGUGGAAUUCCGCGUGUAGCAGUGAAAUGCGUAGAUAUGCGGAGGAACACCGAUGGCGAAGGCAACCCCCUGGGCCUGUACUGACGCUCAUGCACGAAAGCGUGGGGAGCAAACAG
RNAcentral lists this ribosomal RNA (424 nucleotides) under uncultured bacterium. RNAcentral's name for it is "partial 16S ribosomal RNA". It matches the Rfam family "Bacterial small subunit ribosomal RNA", at positions 359 to 775 of the family's 1533-position model. The record is from RNAcentral.